GGAAAUGAUCACUUGGAUAGAUGCUGCUGAACUUAACAGGGCUGGAGGGAAGAGGGAAUGAGCAUCACUACCAAAUUGUUGCCUGCUUUGAAGGCCUCAGUCGGUCACAUCCUCCUUGCACAAUUUCAGCUCUAAACAGAGGGAGAGAAAUCACCAAGCAGAAGAUGUUUUGGCUCUUUUUCAAUAUAUCCACAAAAAAGGAUGGGAAAUAG
RNAcentral lists this long non-coding RNA (212 nucleotides) under Phascolarctos cinereus (koala). RNAcentral's name for it is "lncRNA (ENSPCIG00000009701.2)". The record is from RNAcentral. Lineage: Eukaryota; Metazoa; Chordata; Mammalia; Diprotodontia; Phascolarctidae.